Molecule: long non-coding RNA, 373 nt
Filed under: Eucalyptus grandis
Lineage: Eukaryota; Viridiplantae; Streptophyta; Magnoliopsida; Myrtales; Myrtaceae
Description: long non-coding RNA (EGRA_LNC007714)
Source: RNAcentral
AAAAGCACAGCACAGUUCAUCUUUUCAGAAUGAGAUGCUAACAGUUUGCAAUGGAGUAUCACUUGGGCCCUUGCAGAAAAGCCUUCAUUGUCCCAUGGAUCGACGAGAACCUAAAAUAUUCACAAUUUAGGCCCCCAUGUGGCACCCUGCAUACCAAAAACAACCCAUCUCACAUAAAAAAACCCUCACUUGUAAACUGUCGAAUAUCGGCUAAGCAAAAAUCCAUACAGAUAUCUUAUUGCAACUAAGCAGACUUAGUACUCUCCUUUUGCAUCUAUGUCCAACAGAGAGGCCAUCCAAUGACAAUCCGCGAUCUUUUGUCAAACUUCAACCCUCAAAGCAUAAGUCGAGCUUGUUCUCCGCACACCCUAUC